UACGUAGGGAGCUAGCGUUGUCCGGAAUCAUUGGGCGUAAAGCGCGCGUAGGCGGCCCGGUAAGUCCGCUGUGAAAGUCAAAGGCUCAACCUUUGAAUGUCAGCGGAUACUGCCGGGCUAGAGUCCGGAAGAGGCGAGUGGAACUCCUGGUGUAGCGGUGGAAUGCGCAGAUAUCAGGAAGAACACCUGUGGCGAAAGCGGCGCACUGGACCACAACUGACGCUGAGGCGCGAAAGCUAGGGGAGCAAACAGG
Molecule: ribosomal RNA, 253 nt
Filed under: uncultured bacterium
Lineage: Bacteria
Description: partial 16S ribosomal RNA
Rfam family: Bacterial small subunit ribosomal RNA
Source: RNAcentral